AUUGAACGCUGGCGGCAUGCCUCACACAUGCAAGUCGAACGGUAACGCGGGGCAACCUGGCGACGAGUGGCGAACGGGUGAGUAAUGCAUCGGGACGUGCCCAGUAGUGGGGGAUAGCCCGGCGAAAGCCGGAUUAAUACCGCAUACGACCUACGGGUGAACGGGGGGGAUCGCAAGACCUCUCGCUAUUGGCGCGGCCGGUGUCAGAUUAGCUAGGUGGUGGGGUAAAAGCCUACCAAGGCGACGAUCUGUAGCUGGUCUGAGAGGACGACCAGCCACACUGGGACUGAGACACGGCCCAGACUCCUACGGGAGGCAGCAGUGGGGAAUUUUGGACAAUGGGCGAAAGCCUGAUCCAGCCAUGCCGCGUGCGGGAAGAAGGCCUUCGGGUUGUAAACCGCUUUUGUCAGGGAAGAAAUCUUCUGAGUUAAUACCUCGGGAGGAUGACGGUACCUGAAGAAUAAGCACCGGCUAACUACGUGCCAGCCGCCGCGGUAA
This 498-nucleotide ribosomal RNA is filed under the name uncultured bacterium. RNAcentral's name for it is "partial 16S ribosomal RNA". It matches the Rfam family "Bacterial small subunit ribosomal RNA", at positions 29 to 523 of the family's 1533-position model. The record is from RNAcentral.